CUGUCAAAGAGGCGGUGAAAUG
Molecule: microRNA, 22 nt
Filed under: Heliconius melpomene (postman butterfly)
Lineage: Eukaryota; Metazoa; Arthropoda; Insecta; Lepidoptera; Nymphalidae
Description: Hme-Mir-2-P2a_5p* (star (passenger))
Source: RNAcentral